AUUCCUGUGAUGUAGGUAACAAAGAGACGUGCGUGUCCCUUUGGUAGACAAGGAAACUAUUGCUUCAGCGCGGACCUGCCCAAAGUUGCGGCGCGGGGAUGGUGUGGAGCCAGGACUUGACCUCAGGUCUGCGGCUCUAAUCCACGGUCCCUUCCACGCCAUCAUGAGGUGCUGACUUGCACAGAUUGGGAGAACUAUGAACUCACGUAAAGUCUGAAGGAGCUGGAAGAGGAGGAGUGAUGUGAAGAUGCCUGGGAGGUGGCAUCAUGGUGGAACAAGACCCCGAGGAGCCGAAGGGAAGAACGGUAGGUCCCGGUGGGAUACGUCCCUCAGCUUAACAGAAAGGAAGGAAGAAAGGAUGGACACGCAGGCUGGUGCCAGUCUAGGAGUGAGAACUACAGCGGAGAACAAAGUCCCUGAUCUCUUUGAGGUUACAUCUGCUGAAGGAGACAGAUAAUAAACAAUUAAAUAAGUAAAAUAUAGUGUACAUUAGAUGAUAGGUGCUAAAGAAGAAUUAAAAAAAAACAGGCAGAGGGAGUGGAAGUUUGGGCGGGGGCUGGAAGAGCAGUUGAAAUUUCAGACAGAUUCCAGGAAACACUUGGCUGAAAAGUGAGUGAAGACUUGAAGGAAGUGAGAGAGGGAGCCCCGUCUGUGGCGUGGCUGGCAGAACUCUAAGACGACCCCAUGGCACCACCUGCCUCUUAGUUUGAUUUCCAUGAUGAUGUUAUAUUACAUGGCAAAAGUAGACACUGACCUUAAUAUAGAGACAUUAUGCAUGUGGGCCUAACCCAGUCACACGAGCCCCAUAAAAGCAGAGUUUUCUCCAGUUGGAGGCAAAAGAGAAUGUGAGGAACAACCGAAGGAGGUUCUCCAGUGCUGAGAUGGAGGGGGCCACAUGGAAGGACCUGGGAGAACCCUCUAGAGAUGAGAGUGAACCCCAGCCUACAGCCAGCAAGAUGAUGAAAAACCUCAGUCCUACAACUGCAAAAUACUGAAUUCUGCCAAUGACCUGAAGGAGCCUGGAAACAAGGCUCUUCCCAGAGCCCCCUGAUACGAGUCCAGCUGGCCUUCACCUUGAUUUCAGUGUGUAUGGAGCUAACUGAGCCAAGUGUAGAGGAGUGAAGACACAGUGGAAUGAAGAUUUCUCUCCAUUUGUUUCCUCAGAGCGUUUCCUUUCGUAGGAGGCACCGUUGCUUAUUGAGUUACUGACAGGACCAGUGAUUCAUCUUAGACCAUGUUGAUUCCAUUGACCAUUUUGCAAUGAACAGAGGGAGAGGUUGAAGACAGCAGAAGAGACCGAGAUAACCAAGGAACUGAAGUCCCCAUGAAGGUGAGCAGGGAAGGCAGGAGCCCAGACAGAAUGGUUGGUCCUGAACAGGAAUAGAUGGCUUCAGUGAGGGAAAAGGGUGAGGGUAUGUGAACAUGAAUUAAGAGCGUGGGGUCAGGAGAGGUACGGAAGAGGAAGCUAAAGCCAAUGCUGACAGCUCAGCCACAUGAGCAACUUUGAAAAUCUGUUUUGUUAUACCUACACAUGCUUUCUUUUAAAUCUUCUUUCUUUAAUAUAAAAUAUAUUCAUGCUCUGUGUAGAAAACUGGGGAAACACAGGAAAAUACAAAAAAGAAAAUUAUAAUUUCCUUUAUGUCCCCUUUGUACUUUCCCAUUUUCAGUCAAUAUUAUACCCUGAGAAUUCCCCUGUCUUUAAUAUUCAUUUAAAGCGUAAUUUAAUGUCUAUAAAUUUUUCCAUUAUAUUUAAUUGUCUUAACUAUCCCUUUAUGCUCAGAUAUUUAGAUUAUCUUUUUUCAUUCUACUAUAAAUAUUUUAGGAAUAUCCUUAUCUAAAACUCUUUGCACAGCUGAUAAUUCACUGGAGUACAUUUUGACAAGUGGAAUUACUGGGUCAAAGGGUGUGAACUGUUUUAGGCAUUAUAAGCUAUCUAGCCUGAUUGAUUUUCAAAAAUGUAUCUCUAUUUAUAUUCCAAAUGAGGAUCCAUCUGAUGAUAUCUUCAUUAGCAUAGGAUAUUUUAAAAACUCUUGCUAAUUUGGUAAGUUAAAAUUAAUCAAUUGCUCAUUGGGUUUUUUUUUGUUGUUGUCAGUGGAGAUGAACUUGUUUUUAUAUUUCUACUCCCAUCUCCAUUUCUUCUACUCUUUCUUCCCAUACUGAGCAAGUUUGGAUUAUAUCAUGGACACUGUACUGUUACAUUGUAAAGACUCUGGAUUCUUCUCUGUUUCUCCAAAAAGUGUUGACCUCCUUAUGUAGGCAAUUAACAUGCCUCAAAAUACAAACUCUCUCUUGGGUAGAAACUCAAAUCUCAGUUCAGUUAUUUAGCUUUAACUAUUCUGCUUGUAAUCUGUUUCAUGCAUGCAUGGCGUAAGAGUCAACCAGAUAUCUGGAUAGAAUCAUGCACAGAAUGCAGGGCUUCCUUCCCACUCUGGUUCUCUCAUUUCCAGUAGUCACCCUGCCCCUCACUUUCUAGCACCCAUGGUUGCUCCCAAAUCAGUUCCAGCUUUUAAAUCUGUUUUAGCCAACCUGAAUGGCGCAGACUAAAGCCUGCCUUCCAGCUAAAAUACACACACACAUACACAGACAUACACACGCACACACCCAUGGGAGAAAACCACCAAGUGCCAUUCCCUUUUUCCAAAUAAUUGACUUUCCUUCAAAAUGUGCUUGUGUCUGUUCACUCUUAAACCUUUAGAUUGUUAUUUUUAUAUGUUAUUGUGAUUAAAGUUGUUAUCUGCAGAAGAGUUAGCUUCAUAUGAGUUUACUUGGCCACUACUGAGAAGAAAAUCUCCAGGACUAUAGAUAAUUAAUUUUCACUUCUACAAAGGGUUUUUUUCCUCUUUUUUAAAAACAAAAUGUAAUUCCCAAGUACAUCUCAAGAAAGGUAAGUUUCUCAGAAUUCCAGUCUUCCUCUUUGAACAUAUUGGGGGAAUGUUUCCUACAAAAGUUGCUCCUGGUAACUGGAGCUGUCUAGUUAGCUUCAAACAUCCACAGAAAACUGCACCUGAGCUCAUACUGAACACGGUAACAAUGGCACCAGGGGAUGGAGUGCCCAGAAACCAAUUAAGGCUGUGGUAAAGAAGGGGUUUUCUUCAAUGGCUAAUGGAGACCAUAAACAGAGGCUCUGACCACAGAGAAUUUGAUGCUGGCCACCCUUUCUCCUUAAGUUUGAACAAAGAUCAGUGACCAAGAGGCCUAAUCUAAUAUAAGCCCCAGAUAACUUUCGUGUUUGUAUUACUUCAUGCUUAGCAACAAUCGCUCAGUUAUGACUCCCUGGCACAAGGAAAUAUGACACUGCAACAACAAGGUAUUUGUUAAGAUCCCCACGUUCCUUUUCAUCUUACAAGGAUGUUAGAACUUACCUGUUUUAACCCAUCAUUCUACUUAUCAGAAACCCACAGUUUAAAAUAGGGAAGACCCACCCAGGAUAACACAGGAAGGAGCGGAGCUGCCAUUAGCAUGCUGUUACAGCAUCUCUCAUUUUGCAGUCUGACUCUCAGCAACACAUUUAAGGUUUCAGAGAUGCUGCUACAUGGUGUGUCCUCAACCUUUCUUAAGGCUAAACUGUAAAGUGUUCUGAGUGGAAGAAAACAGUCUGCUCGGUGAUGCAAUCACAAUCUCCUGAAUUCAGCAAGAUGACAGUGUGAUCACUGCAUUUAAUGGUUGGCUGUUCUCCAAAAUCAGGUUGGCAGGAUGCUCUGGACCUGGAAAUGUGGGAGAUGUCAGGGAAAGAACUGAAUUUCAGAGUCAGACAGACAUGAACUCAAAUCUUCACUCCACUGCUUACAAGCUAUGUGACCCUGAGAAAGCCAGAUGAAGAAACAGAUGUAGCGAGGCCAAGUAAUCUGCCCAAGGUCAAGUGAGUGACAAGGCUUGGACUCCCACUCGGCUGUGUUUGACUCGGGAGCCUGAGCUCUUAACCACGCAUUGUUCUGUCUCAUGCUGCCCUGCGCGCCCUCAUAAUACCCCGAGGAGAAGACUCAACAUGAAAUAGCAUUUGGCUGCAUUCCAAUCAGUCAACACAUUCAUCACCAGCCACACAAAGAGAGCAGGUAGGCUGGAUUCCCUGUGCUGAACAAAACAAUUCAGGCAAAUGCAGGCACUGACCUCUAACUCGAUUUGGAGAUUUAGCAUCUCUAUCUUGAAGACUUCCCUAACAUCUCAGCUGCUCUGUUUCAUGGGACCUUUUGUUGAUGGGGUCAAGAGGGGUCAAAGGGAAUUUAUCUUUUUAGUUUUUGUGUUCUUUUAUGAAAAAAAUUACUUAACCAUCAUGGUUCUGGAGUUAUUUCUCAUUGGCAGAAUUGUGGAGCUGUGUACUGAUUCAGAGAAGUGUCGGGAUGCUGGGCACAGAUGGCUUUAAUUAUUUGGGCAGCCACUGACAGAUGUGACGGUCUAGGUUUCUGCUGCCUGGACAGGUGUAAGCUAUAGGAUUUACCCAGAGGGAGUUGUGGACAGCCAGAACUGGAUAGAGCCCUGAGAUGGCCCUUUAUUUUGUCUUAAUCCACCCCUAGGUACAUAGUUAUCAUAUUUCUUUGCCUCAAGGCACAGUCAAGUCAGUCAAAACCAUCAAACCAAGUUUGUGUGCAGAAAGAAAAUCUCAAAGAGAGAAGUACACUGUUAGCAACUGGUCCCAAACUCUGCUCAGUGUUUUUACACAGAUGCCUUUCUUCUCAUUAAUUAUGGCUUCAUAAUCAAAAGGAGAUAUGUGUAUCCCUCCUUCUGGAUCAAAACAAGGAUAUUUCCUUCUCCAAUUAGAAUCCACAUGAAUAAUUUCCAAACACUGAGUGUCAGUCUGUGAAAACUUUCAUUAUUUUGUUCAGCAAGUUUAUUGAGCAAGUGAUGGAAAACCCGGAGAGAAAGCAGAUAUGCUCCCUGCUUUUAAAGAGCUGGGGAGUAUUCCGAGGGAGUUUCCAAAGCUUUGAGCCAAUUAGAAUAAGAGACUCAGCACAUAUCAUGUCAAGGCAUUAUUUCAUGUUCUGGGGAUGCAUUGGUGAUCAAAAUAGCCCCUUUCAGGAACCCUCCUACACUGCUGCUGAAAAUGUAGUUUGGUGCAGCCAUUAUGGAAAACAGUAUGGAGAUUCCUCAAAAGAUGAAAAAUAG
Non-coding RNA from Vicugna pacos (alpaca), 5100 nucleotides. NCBI's taxonomy places the organism in Eukaryota, Metazoa, Chordata, Mammalia, Artiodactyla, Camelidae. The record is from RefSeq and is a predicted model, not a curated record.